Long non-coding RNA from Cucurbita moschata (crookneck pumpkin), 228 nucleotides. RefSeq lists it as uncharacterized. Lineage: Eukaryota; Viridiplantae; Streptophyta; Magnoliopsida; Cucurbitales; Cucurbitaceae. The record is from RefSeq and is a predicted model, not a curated record. The transcript is spliced from 3 exons.
GGGGUCCCACAUAGAUUAAAGAAGGAAACGAGUGUAAUCGAGAACGUUGGACCUCAAAAAGGGGUGGAUUGUGAGAUCCCACAUCGGUUGGGGAGAAGAAUGAGCAUUCUUUAUAAGGGUGUGGAAACCUCUCCCUAAAGACGCGUUUUAAAACCGUAAGGCUGGCAGCGAUACGUGACGGACUAAAGCGGACAAUUAUCUACUAGGGUGUGAAUAUUGGAGGUAAAG